CUAUACAUGCAGUCGAGCGGACAGAAGGGAGCUUGCUCCCGGAUGUUAGCGGCGGACGGGUGAGUAACACGUGGGUAACCUGCCUGUAAGACUGGGAUAACUCCGGGAAACCGGAGCUAAUACCGGAUAGUUCCUUGAACCGCAUGGUUCAAGGAUGAAAGACGGUUUCGGCUGUCACUUACAGAUGGACCCGCGGCGCAUUAGCUAGUUGGUGGGGUAAUGGCUCACCAAGGCGACGAUGCGUAGCCGACCUGAGAGGGUGAUCGGCCACACUGGGACUGAGACACGGCCCAGACUCCUACGGGAGGCAGCAGUAGGGAAUCUUCCGCAAUGGACGAAAGUCUGACGGAGCAACGCCGCGUGAGUGAUGAAGGUUUUCGGAUCGUAAAGCUCUGUUGUUAGGGAAGAACAAGUGCGAGAGUAACUGCUCGCACCUUGACGGUACCUAACCAGAAAGCCACGGCUAACUACGUGCCAGCAGCCGCGGUAAUACGUAGGUGGCAAGCGUUGUCCGGAAUUAUUGGGCGUAAAGGGCUCGCAGGCGGUUUCUUAAGUCUGAUGUGAAAGCCCCCGGCUCAACCGGGGAGGGUCAUUGGAAACUGGGAAACUUGAGUGCAGAAGAGGAGAGUGGAAUUCCACGUGUAGCGGUGAAAUGCGUAGAGAUGUGGAGGAACACCAGUGGCGAAGGCGACUCUCUGGUCUGUAACUGACGCUGAGGAGCGAAAGCGUGGGGAGCGAACAGGAUUAGAUACCCUGGUAGUCCACGCCGUAAACGAUGAGUGCUAAGUGUUAGGGGGUUUCCGCCCCUUAGUGCUGCAGCUAACGCAUUAAGCACUCCGCCUGGGGAGUACUGUCUCCAUUACUAUAUUUU
Molecule: ribosomal RNA, 871 nt
Filed under: Bacillus zhangzhouensis
Lineage: Bacteria; Bacillati; Bacillota; Bacilli; Caryophanales; Bacillaceae
Description: bacterial SSU rRNA
Rfam family: Bacterial small subunit ribosomal RNA
Source: RNAcentral